This 75-nucleotide transfer RNA is filed under the name Puniceicoccales bacterium. Its description in RNAcentral is "tRNA-Arg". It matches the Rfam family "tRNA". From Rfam's summary of the family: Transfer RNA (tRNA) molecules are approximately 80 nucleotides in length. Their secondary structure includes four short double-helical elements and three loops (D, anti-codon, and T loops). Lineage: Bacteria; Pseudomonadati; Verrucomicrobiota; Opitutia; Puniceicoccales. The record is from RNAcentral.
GUCCCCAUAGUUCAAUGGAUAGAACAGCAGUUUCCUAAACUGUUGAUCCAAGUUCGAUUCUUGGUGGGGACGCCA